This 1244-nucleotide ribosomal RNA is filed under the name metagenome. RNAcentral's name for it is "bacterial LSU rRNA". It matches the Rfam family "Bacterial large subunit ribosomal RNA", at positions 1564 to 2816 of the family's 2925-position model. The record is from RNAcentral.
UGAGUACGAGAUGCUACGGCAUCGAAGCAGUCUAUGUCAUACUUCCAAGAAAAGCUUGCAAUGUCAUAAACAAAUAAUGCCUGUACCAUAACCGACACUGGUGGGUAGGUAGAGUAUACUAAGGGGCGCGAGAUAACUCUCUCUAAGGAACUCGGCAAAAUGACUCCGUAACUUCGGGAGAAGGAGUGCCUUAUUUUUAUAAGGUUGCAAUAACAAGAUCCAAGCAACUGUUUACCAAAAACACAGGUCUCCGCUAAGUCGUAAGACGAUGUAUGGGGGCUGACGCCUGCCCAGUGCCAGAAGGUUAAAGAAGUUGGUUAGCAUUAGCGAAGCUGAUAACUGAAGCCCUGGUGAACGGCGGCCGUAACAAUAACGGUCCUAAGGUAGCGAAAUUCCUUGUCGGGUAAGUUCCGACCCGCACGAAAGGCGUAAUGAUUUGGAUACUGUCUCGGAGAGGGGCUCGGUGAAAUAGACUUGUCUGUGAAGAUGCGGACUACCUGCACCUGGACAGAAAGACCCUAUGAAGCUUUACUGUAACUUGAGAUUGAAAUUGGACUUUAUCUGCGCAGUAUAGGUGGGAGACGUUGAAAAUAUUCUUGCGGGAAUAUUGGAGUCAUCAGUGAGAUACCACUCUUAUAAUGUUAGAUUUCUAACUUUGUAUCAUUAUCUGGUCAAAGAACAGUUUCAGGCGGGCAGUUUGACUGGGGCGGUCGCCUCCCAAACGGUAACGGAGGCGCACAAAGGUUUCCUCUGAACGUGUAGAAAUCGUAUCUAGAGUGUAAAGGCAUAAGGAAGCUUGACUGUGAGACCUACAAGUCGAGCAGGGACGAAAGUCGGUCUUAGUGAUCUGACGGUGCUGAGUGGAAAGGCCGUCACUCAACGGAUAAAAGUUACUCUAGGAUAACAGGCUGAUCUCCCCCAAGAGUUCACAUCGACGGGGAGGUUUGGCACCUCGAUGUCGGCUCAUCGCAUCCUGGGGCGGUAGUACGUCCCAAGGGUUGGGCUGUUCGCCCAUGAAAGCGGUACGCGAGCUGGGUUCAGAACGUCGUGAGACAGUUCGGUCCAUAUCCGGUGUAGGCGUUAGAAUAUUGAGAGGAGCCUUCUUUAGUACGAGAGGACCGAGAGGGACAUACCUCUGGUGUACCAGUUAUCGUGCCAACGGUAAACGCUGGGUAGCCAUGUAUGGAGAGGAUAACCGCUGAAAGCAUCUAAGUGGGAAGCCCACCUCAAGAUAAGUAUUCUCA